This is a non-coding RNA of Ictidomys tridecemlineatus (thirteen-lined ground squirrel), 96 nucleotides long. The record is from Rfam. Lineage: Eukaryota; Metazoa; Chordata; Mammalia; Rodentia; Sciuridae.
CUGAGGUAUCUACCUUGGGGCCAUGGGAAGCAUCAGAAGGUCUCUCACGUGGGAGACAAGCCAAACCUGUUUAAUAUUUAAACAGCAGUGUUCCCC